UAAAGAAUUUCGGUCAUCGAUGGGGGUGCGUUCCAUUAGCUUGUUGGCGGGGUAACGGCCCACCAAGGCAUCGAUGGAUAGGGGUUCUGAGAGGAAGGUCCCCCACAUUGGAACUGAGACACGGUCCAAACUCCUACGGGAGGCAGCAGUGAGGAAUAUUGGUCAAUGGGCGCUAGCCUGAACCAGCCAAGUAGCGUGAAGGAUGACUGCCCUAUGGGUUGUAAACUUCUUUUAUAUGGGAAUAAAGUGCAGUAUGUAUACUGCUUUGCAUGUACCUUAUGAAUAAGGAUCGGCUAACUCCGUGCCAGCAGCCGCGGUAAUACGGAGGAUCCGAGCGUUAUCCGGAUUUAUUGGGUUUAAAGGGAGCGUAGGCGGGUUGUUAAGUCAGUUGUGAAAGUUUGCGGCUCAACCGUAAAAUUGCAGUUGAUACUGGCAUCCUUGAGUACAGUAGAGGUAGGCGGAAUUCGUGGUGUAGCGGUGAAAUGCUUAGAUAUCACGAAGAACUCCGAUUGCGAAGGCAGCCUGCUGGACUGUAACUGACGCUGAUGCUCGAAAGUGUGGGUAUCAAACAGGAUUAGAUACCCUGGUAGUCCACACAGUAAACGAUGAAUACUCGCUGUUUGCGAUAUACAGUAA
Molecule: ribosomal RNA, 636 nt
Filed under: uncultured bacterium
Lineage: Bacteria
Description: bacterial SSU rRNA
Rfam family: Bacterial small subunit ribosomal RNA
Source: RNAcentral